GCUCGGCGGCGUGCCUAACACAUGCAAGUCGAACGGGCAUCUUCGGUGCGGGGGGCGGGGGGGUGAGUCACGCGAAAGAGUCUUCCUUCGCGGCAGGAACCACUGUUGGUAGCGACUGCACAUACCCUGUAUGUCGGAGGGAGGAACCUAAUCGGCCUAGAGACGCCCUGGCGUCUGAUCGACUUGUUGGGGGGGAAAGAGCCUACCAAGGCCACGAUUAAUAGGUGGUCUAAGAGGAUGAGCAG
RNAcentral lists this ribosomal RNA (245 nucleotides) under uncultured bacterium. RNAcentral's name for it is "partial 16S ribosomal RNA". It matches the Rfam family "Bacterial small subunit ribosomal RNA", at positions 38 to 307 of the family's 1533-position model. The record is from RNAcentral.